GUACACGCUGUGACUAGCAUAUCAAUAAGCGGAGGAAAAGAAACUAACAAGGAUUCCCCUAGUAACGGCGAGUGAAGCGGGAAGAGCUCAAAUUUGAAAUCUUAAAGGGUUUCCCUUUACGAAUUGUAGUUUAAAGAAGUGUUUUCUGUUGAGGUUUUGGUAAAAGUUCUUUGGAAUAGGACAUCAUAGAGGGUGAGAAUCCCGUAUUUGACCUUUACUUUCAACUUUGUGAUACACUUUCAAAGAGUCGGAUUGUUUGGGAAUGCAGUCCAAAAUGGGUGGUAAAUUUCAUCUAAAGCUAAAUAUUGGCGAGAGACCGAUAGCGAACAAGUACCGUGAGGGAAAGAUGAAAAGAACUUUGAAAAGAGAGUUAAACAGUACGUGAAAUUGUCAAAAGGGAAGCGUUUGACACCAGUGUUGUUUUUCUGAAAAUCAAUUAAAGAACUGUUUAUGCUAAGUUGUUUAGACUUUAUCAGCUAAUCUGUUUAGUUUUAGGCUUUUCCUUUAAUGCACUUUUCAGUUAACAAGUCAACAUCAAUUUCUUUUGCUGUAAAAAAGCUUGAGGAAGGUGGCUUGAGAUUCGUCUUAAGUGCUUAUAGCCUCUUGCCUAUGCCAGUCGGAGAGAUUGAGGUCUGCAGCGUAGAUCCUUCGGGGCUAAAUGCAUUUGUGCUAAGUUAUAGCAUUUUAUAGACAACUUGUUGACUAUGAUUUGUCUUGUAGCUUACUCGCUUAUGUUAUUUUACCUACGCUUAGGAUGUUGAGUCGUAGAGCACGCAG
Molecule: ribosomal RNA, 777 nt
Filed under: uncultured Neocallimastigales
Lineage: Eukaryota; Fungi; Neocallimastigomycota; Neocallimastigomycetes; Neocallimastigales
Description: partial large subunit ribosomal RNA
Rfam family: Eukaryotic large subunit ribosomal RNA
Source: RNAcentral